AUGCAGCAAAUUCUCAGAGUCCAGGCAGUACCAUGUGACCAUCUCCUCUCUCCUCUGCCAUCUUGCCUACCAAUGGGAAGAACUCUUGCUGGGCUUUGCAAGGGAGCAGGUGCUGCUGCUCCCUGCUCCUUCCUAUCUCUUUUGGUCAAGAACGCAGACCAUGAACAUAACACCUUCGUUCUUGUUCCUUGGACCAGUCAUCCAGGGCACGUGGACCCUCCCAGUGGCACACUGUGCCAGCCCAAGGGCUACCACAGGCGACUUCAAAAUGAGCAGGUUCCUUGCAGGGAGAUGUGCAGUACAGCGUCACACCACCAGGGGGCGCUGCCCAGCUGGUAUCUUUCUCCUUCAUGCUCUGCCGGGUUUCUCAAGGAGGCUGGGAAGACAGAAUCAGGAGCCCUGGGAUGCAGGAAAAGCCCCAUGGUGGGUCUGGCAGCAGAAGUGAAGGGCUGAAACCAGAAAGAGGAGGAUCCCAGUAGCUGCAGAAGUCAGAGCCCAAGACCAGGGUGGAGUCGCCAUCCUCUUCUCCCAAGCUGCUGAAAGUGCCGGCCACUGCCGUUAGGAGGAAGUGCCUCAGAGAAAGGACCCGGGAGAGACAAAGCCCUGGGCUGGUUCUCCAGGGAAGGCUUGGGUAAGGGCUCCCUAGUUUGACCUCUUCCUUCCAGAGUCUUCAGUGGGAUGGCACUGGGAACAGAAAGUCUGGGGAGUCCACCUCUGCCCCCUGCCUGUACCACUGGGCACUUGCAAAGCUCUCCCUUAGGGCCAGGCACUGCUCUGGGCGCCUGCACACAUAUUCUCAAUUUCCACAACCACUUCAGGGGGAAGGUAUAAUUAUUACCUCGGUUUUAUGCGUAAGAAGAGGGAAGCACAGAGAGGUUCCGUGACUCAUCCAAGAUCACUCCAUUUGUAGAGGGUAGAGCUGGGGUUGAACACAAGGAAUCUGCCUCAAGGAGAGGCAGAUCUGGUCAUUAAUAACAAUAACAAGCAAAGCCAUUUGACCAGUACCUCCUGUGUGCCUGGGGCUUCAGUCCUCACAGCAAGGCUGGGACGGGGGCACUCCUCAUUUCAUAGAUGAGUAAAUCCGAGCUUAGCAGGCGGCCAGGGGUGAGGCGCCUGCAGAAUCUCACAGAUGCUAGGUCUCCCUAAAACGGAAGGGUCCACUCUCAGCCUCUUUGCAGGCCUCUUUGACUCGCUGUGUGACAGUGGGAAAGCACAUUCCUCUACAGAGCCUCAGUUUCCCUAUGGCCUAGGCCUUCUAUUCCUGGCCUCCCUGCUCCAGCAAGUGACGGAGUGGCUGGGAUUGCGACGUUGUGGGAAUGUGCGUCUCCUCCGUGAAGAGCCUUUGCCUCCCCC
RNAcentral lists this long non-coding RNA (1353 nucleotides) under Canis lupus familiaris (dog). RNAcentral describes it as "lncRNA (ENSCAFG00845013843.1)". Lineage: Eukaryota; Metazoa; Chordata; Mammalia; Carnivora; Canidae. The record is from RNAcentral.